This 69-nucleotide transfer RNA is filed under the name Marmota monax (woodchuck). RNAcentral's name for it is "tRNA.Ala". It matches the Rfam family "tRNA". From Rfam's summary of the family: Transfer RNA (tRNA) molecules are approximately 80 nucleotides in length. Their secondary structure includes four short double-helical elements and three loops (D, anti-codon, and T loops). Lineage: Eukaryota; Metazoa; Chordata; Mammalia; Rodentia; Sciuridae. The record is from RNAcentral.
GAGGUUGUGGCUCAGUGGUAGAGCACUCGCCUAGCAUGUGUGAGGCUAGGUUCGAUCCUCAGGACCACA